RNAcentral lists this ribosomal RNA (472 nucleotides) under uncultured organism. RNAcentral describes it as "partial 16S ribosomal RNA". It matches the Rfam family "Bacterial small subunit ribosomal RNA", at positions 334 to 797 of the family's 1533-position model. The record is from RNAcentral.
CACUCCUACGGGAGGCAGCAGUGGGGAAUUUUGGACAAUGGGCGAAAGCCUGAUCCAGCAAUGCCGCGUGAGUGAAGAAGGCCUUCGGGUUGUAAAGCUCUUUUGUCAGGGAAGAAACGGUGAAAGCUAAUAUCUUUUGCUAAUGACGGUACCUGAAGAAUAAGCACCGGCUAACUACGUGCCAGCAGCCGCGGUAAUACGUAGGGUGCAAGCGUUAAUCGGAAUUACUGGGCGUAAAGCGUGCGCAGGCGGUUUUGUAAGUCUGAUGUGAAAUCCCCGGGCUCAACCUGGGAAUUGCAUUGGAGACUGCAAGGCUAGAAUCUGGCAGAGGGGGGUAGAAUUCCACGUGUAGCAGUGAAAUGCGUAGAUAUGUGGAGGAACACCGAUGGCGAAGGCAGCCCCCUGGGUCAAGAUUGACGCUCAUGCACGAAAGCGUGGGGAGCAAACAGGAUUAGAUACCCGUGUAGUCCCA